This 102-nucleotide non-coding RNA is filed under the name Clostridium carboxidivorans. RNAcentral describes it as "Guanine sequence". It matches the Rfam family "Purine riboswitch aptamer". Rfam says of the family: Riboswitches are metabolite binding domains within certain messenger RNAs that serve as precision sensors for their corresponding targets. Allosteric rearrangement of mRNA structure is mediated by ligand binding, and this results in modulation of gene expression. A class of riboswitches that selectively recognises guanine and becomes saturated at concentrations as low as 5 nM. The record is from RNAcentral. RNAcentral also lists the same sequence under 1 other name. Lineage: Bacteria; Bacillati; Bacillota; Clostridia; Eubacteriales; Clostridiaceae.
ACGUAAGAUGAAUAAAACGUCCAUAUAAUCCUGAUAAUAAGGUUCGGGAGUUUCUACUAGGGAACCGUUAAUUUCCUUUCUAUGGGUUAAUCUGAAGAAUAU